UGAAGUCACUGGAAACUGUGAUGGAAGCUCGAAGCGAUACUGACGUGCAAAUCGUUCGUCUGACAUGAGUAUAGGGGCGAAAGACUAAUCGAACCAUCUAGUAGCUGGUUCCCUCCGAAGUUUCCCUCAGGAUAGCUGGAAUUCGUCGGCGAGUUUUAUCAGGUAAAGCGAAUGAUUAGCGGAAUCUGGGAUGAAACAUUCUAGUCCUAUUCUCAAACUUUAAAUGGGUAAGAUGCGGGGGUUGCUUAGCUGAACCCUUGCGUUGAAUCGGAGUUCUUAGUGGGCCAUUUUUGGUAAGCAGAACUGGCGAUGUGGGAUGCUCCAGACGCUUGGUUAAGGGGCCAAAGUUCUCGCUCAUUCCGAUACCAUAAAGGGUGUUGGCUGAUACAGACAGCAGGACGGUGGCCAUGGAAGUCGGAACCCGCUAAGGACCGUGUAACAACCCACCUGCCGAAUCAGCUAGCCCCGAAAAUGGAUGGCGCUCAAGCGAGACCCCGAAACCGGGCCAUUCGGGCAGAUGCGACGCCCGGAUGAGUAGGAGGGCGCGGGGGUCGCUGCGAAGGCGCGGGCGCGAGCCCCGCUUGGAGCGGCCCCUGGUGCAGAUCUUGGUGUUAGUAGCAAAUAUUCAAAUGGAAACUUUGAAGGCCGAAGUGGAGAAAGGUUUCACGUGAACAUCAUUUGGACGUGAGUGACUCGGUCCUAAGGCAGUCCGUAUGGGGUUCAGAAGGCGCGCUUCUUUCAGUCGCGCCGAGAGCCGAAAGGGCAAUCGGUUAAGAUUCCGAUAGUGGGACAGGGGGCUGGGCGGCGACGCGUUCAAACCCGGCGACGGUUGCCUGGGCCCCGGGAAGAGUUAUCUUUUCUUUUUAACACCGCGCUCGCCCCUGAAAUGGGAUUAGCCCUCGAUAGGGGGGGGCGCGUGGCAGAGCGGCUGACUUCCUCAGCCGUCCGGUGCGCUCGGGAGGCUCCUUGAAAAGCCGGGGGCGUGCAUGCCCCCCGUCCCAGCCGUACUCAUAACCGCAUCAGGUCUCCAAGGUUAACAGCCUCUGGCCGAUAGAACAAUGUAGGUAAGGGAAGUCGGCAAAUUGGUUCCGUAAGUUCGCGAUAUGGAAUGGCUCAUCAGACUGGGUGGUAGAGGCUCGGUUCAUGAAGCUUGCUAGCCGGCGAGACUGGCUAGCCGCCCCUCGGGGUGGCAGGCCGGGCUUGCCCGGUGGGCUCGUGGAGGAAUCGAGACAGCCGGCGUGCCGGCGCCCUGCGGUUCGCCGCUUGGGGGUCACGCCGUGUCGCCGCGCGUUCUCGCCGCAACGAACAGUCAAUGAUGAACUCGUAGUGACCACGGGAACCCGACUGUUUAAUUAAAACAAAGCAUUGCGAUGGUCGCAAGCCGAUGUUGACGCAAUGUGAUUUCUGCUCAGUGCUCUGAAUGUCAAAGUGAUGUAAUUCAAUCAAGCGCGGGUAAACAGCGGGAGUAACUAUGACUCUCUUAAGGUAGCCAAAUGCCUCGUCAUCUAAUUAGUGACGCGCAUGAAUGGAUCAACGAGGUUCCCACUGUCCCUAUCUACUAUCUAGCGAAACCACAGCCAAGGGAACGGGCUUGGGAGUAACGGCGGGGAAAGAAGACCCUGUUGAGCUUGACUCUAGUCUGACACUGUGAAAUGACCCGCUUGGUGCAGUUAUAAGUGGGAGCGCAAGCACCAGUGAGAUACCACUACUUUCAGCGUUGUUUUACUUACAUGGUCAGUAACCGCGGGCACUCUGUUGCCCAUUUCUAGCGUCCAAGGUUGGCCCUUGCGGCUGGCCGAGGUUCGUCGUGGACACUGUCAGGUGGGGAGUUUGGCUGGGGCGGCACAUCUGUUAAAUGAUAACACAGGUGACCCAAGAUCAGCUCAGAGCGAACGGAAAUCGCUCGUCGAGUUUAAGGGCAAAAGCUGAUUUGA
This 1934-nucleotide ribosomal RNA is filed under the name marine metagenome. RNAcentral describes it as "eukaryotic LSU rRNA". It matches the Rfam family "Eukaryotic large subunit ribosomal RNA", at positions 847 to 2724 of the family's 3401-position model. The record is from RNAcentral.